AGGUGGUUUGCCAUGUCCAAGUUUGCCUGUAUUUUGACUGACUGACAUGUUUGCGCUAAUACCAGGCCAUCGUUAACGCCGUGGACCUUUUUUUUUUCCUUUUUUUCGCUAACUCCACUUGGCCCUGGUUUACGGUAUUAGGAGUGGCCUUUGGCCGCACUUUUAAAAAGGACUUGCUUCCACAGGGGUUUUUUUUUUGUCUUCUCCCCUUGGCAACGUUAGUCAUCGUCUGUUUAAAUUUGGGCUUUUACUUUUAAAUUUUUGUUGUUUCAAGGGAUAGUUAUACGGUAUGGUAUGGUGGGAUACUAAAUUGUUCAAUUUUAUCCGCACUUGUAAUAGCAGAUUGUACUUACGCAC
RNAcentral lists this small RNA (357 nucleotides) under Histoplasma capsulatum var. duboisii H88. RNAcentral's name for it is "Histoplasma capsulatum H88 hypothetical RNA". Lineage: Eukaryota; Fungi; Ascomycota; Eurotiomycetes; Onygenales; Ajellomycetaceae. The record is from RNAcentral.